Molecule: RNA transcript, 6571 nt
Organism: Oncorhynchus gorbuscha (pink salmon)
Lineage: Eukaryota; Metazoa; Chordata; Actinopteri; Salmoniformes; Salmonidae
Gene name: insulin receptor-like
Exons: 23
Source: RefSeq, a predicted model, not a curated record
CUCACUUGCAGGUUUUGUUUACUGGCGGAGGAGAGGCAGAGAAGAGGAUUUAACAGUCUACCUCUCAUGUGGGAGACUAAAAUAUACGUUUUCGACUUUAUUUUUUGCUGUUGUUGUUGUGCAAUAACAAUGUGGUCAUUUUGAAGGGAGAUAUCCCUCAUGUAAAAUCACCGAAACGCGCUUUAUUGUGAAGAAAUAGUGCGAACAAUUUGACCAACGGUGAAGUCUGACAGUCAAUGUUGUCUUGAAUGGAAGCCUCGUUAAUGUCAGUAUUGACCGAAUCGAGUUUGCGGUUUAAUGAUUUAUUCUCUCCAUACAAGGUUCAGUUGAGUUUAAGUAAACUACCUAUUCAUCGCAAUACUUUUGCGUUUAUUAUUGUGGUAUUUUUUUGUGAAAGACACCAGCGGUGAGCGUGAAACGCAGUGACCCGUGGAUUUGGUUUAGUACGCCACGCCACGCGUGCCAUGAACCUGAAGUUGUCAUAAGGGAAGCUACAGAAUGUGGGACUGCGACACGAGAGAAAUUGCUGCACAUCACUAGCUGUGGUUUUUAUCCUUUCAAUGCAAGGGAAUAAGCCAUUUCCGAAGUAGAUACACGGCGCCAUAGCGAGUGUUACCGAAAGCGUAAUUCAACUGCGAGUUGGUAUCAAAUCGCACUAACUUGCGUUGUGGCCUGCUGCACAGCCAGCUAACAGUAGCUAGCUACUCAGCUUGGCCUGUUCUGACUUUCGAGACUGCGGAUUGAAUCAAGAACAAUUGAAAAGACUCAAUGCCAUGCCAGUUAUUGGCAAGUGAGACGUUAGCUUCGUUUGUCCACAAUGAAUCACACUGUUGCAUUUGUUUGUGGCGAUUUUGAAUAUCCACCAGAUCUGUACAGAUAACUAGCAGUGGCUAACCAGGUAGCUUAGUGAACACGUUGGACUCUUAACUUCCCUCCGCCCAUUUUUCCGGAAUGCAUGUUUUUAUUUUUGUUUACCUCUGGGUUCUCGUGGUUUAGCUAACGAACCAAUUGACAGCUACCACUUGCCAGCUAGUUUUAACCGAGUUGACACGGAUUCUAAACCAGUUCUCGACUGUGUCUUCGGUCGGAUAUUGAUUUAAGUAAAUAUGUGUCAGCGGACUUUACUUGUGGUUUUUGUGACUGCUGUCUACGUAUGGAAUUGUCAGCCAACGAAUGGAGAAAAUACAGAAAUAUCCACUGGAAUCUGCUCCAGUAAGGACAUCCGGAACAACGUGACCAACCUGCGCUCCCUGGAGAACUGCACAGUGAUCGAGGGCCACCUGAAAAUCAUCCUCAUGUUCAAGACCAAGCCCGAGGACUUCAGGGGCCUAAGUUACCCCAAACUGACCGUGGUCACAGACUUCCUCCUCCUGUUCAGGGUCUACGGCAUGGAGAGCCUCAAAGACCUCUUCCCUAAUCUCACUGUGAUCCGAGGUAACAACCUGUUCUUCAACUAUGCUCUGGUCUUCUUUGAAAUGCUGCAGCUCAGGGAUAUCGGCCUCCAUAGCCUGAUGAAUAUCACUAGAGGAGCGGUGAGAAUCGAGAAGAACCCAGACCUCUGCUACCUCUCCACCCUGGACUGGUCCAAGAUCCUGGACACGGUGGAGGACAACUACAUCGUAGCCAAUAAGAAUGACCGGGAGUGCGGGGACGUGUGUCCUGGGGCGGCCAAGGGGAAGACCACCUGUCAGCAGACCACCAUCAACGGCCUCUUCAACGAACGCUGCUGGACGCACAAGCAUUGCCAGAGAAUGUGCCCCCCCAGCUGUAAGCACCGGGCCUGUACCAAGGACAACCAGUGUUGCCAUGAGUCAUGUCUGGGGGGCUGCUCUGAGCCCCAAAACAGCAGCAGCUGUGUAGCCUGCAAGAACCUCCAGCACCAGGAGGCCUGUGUGGACCGCUGUCCCCAGGGAUAUUACACCUACAGGGGCUGGCGCUGCGUCCCCUUCUCCUUCUGCCAGGACCUCCACAACAAGUGUAAGCAGAGCAAGAGCAGCGACUGCCAUGAGUAUGUUAUCCACAACGGAGCCUGUAUACCCGAGUGCCCCUCAGGAUAUACUACUGUCAACUCCACCACGUUAAUCUGUACUCCAUGUGCUGGGCUGUGUCCUAAGGUGUGUAUGGGCCAGAAGAUGGUGGACUCUGUGACAGCAGCACAGGCUCUGAGAGGAUGCACCGUGCUCAACGGCAGCAUGGAAAUCAACCUCAGAGGGGGAAAUAACAUAGCAGCAGAGCUGGAGGCUAACCUUGGUCAGUUGGAGGAGAUAACAGGGUAUCUGACUGUCCGGCGCUCCUACGCCCUCGUCUCUCUCUCCUUCCUCCGCAAACUACAGGUCAUCAGAGGGGACACACUGAUAGACGGGGGUUACUCGUUCUAUGCGUUAGACAACCAGAACCUGCGUCAGCUGUGGGACUGGAACAAACACAACCUGACCAUCCUCCAGGGACGCAUGUUCUUUCAACUAAACAUUAAGCUCUGCAUGUCAGAGAUCCGCAAGAUGGAGGAGGUGACAGGCACCAAAGACAGACAGCACAAGAACGACAUCGUAUCCAAGACCAAUGGAGACCAGGCCUCCUGUGAGAACCAGGAGUUAAGGUUCACUCAGGUGCGUGCCACACAUGAUAAGAUCGUGAUCAGGUGGGAACCGUUCUGGCCUCCUGACUUCAGAGACUUGCUGGGCUUCAUGCUCUUCUACAAGGAAGCGCCCUACCGCAACGUGACAGAGUUUGACGGCCAGGACGCGUGUGGUUCUAACUGGGUAAUAGUUGACCUGGAUCCUCCAGCCCGGGCUACAGAGGGCAACCCACAGGUGGAGCCAGGUACCCUGAUCUUGUCUUUGAAGCCCUGGACGCAGUACGCCAUCAUGGUUAAGACCCAGCUCUCUGCCUCUGAUGAACACCAGGUCCUCGGGGCCAAGAGCAAGAUCAUCUACGUCAGGACCAACGCCACCAAACCGUCAGUGCCCCUGGACCCCAUCUCAUCAUCUAACUCGUCCUCUCAGAUCAUCCUGAAGUGGAAGCCCCCAACGGACCCCAACGGCAACAUCACUCACUACCUGGUGUACUGUCAGCAGCAGCCUGAGGCCAGCGAGCUCUACAAGUUUGACUACUGUCAGAAAGGUAUGAAGCUGCCGUCACGGGUGCCCACCCAAGUGGACAGUGAUGAGGAGGCCAAGUGGAACCAGACUGAGGAUGAGGGGCAGGGUGGCCGCUGCUGUGCCUGUCCCAAAACAGACAAACAGCUGAAGAAGGAGGCAGAGGACUCAGAGUACCGCAAGACCUUUGAGAACUACAUUCACAACGAGGUCUUCGAGCCCAAACCAAGACAGCGCCGCUCCGCCAUGGGCGUAGCCAAUCAGACGCUGCCGUCAUUCGCGGCGACGCCCACCACCCUGUCCGAAGGUUUCGCCACCCGCGGCCCAGACAGUGACGAUGCAAAUGGUGUGGAGAGCACUAAAAUCCAGCUGACAGUGUUUUCCAAGGAGUCUACGGUCAUCUCCGGCCUCCGACACUUUACCUCGUACCAGAUCGAUGUGCUGGCCUGCAACCACCCCACAGACCCCUCACGCUGCAGUAUGGCAGCCUUCGUCUCAGCUCGCACCAUGCCUGAGGACAAAGCAGAUGACAUAGUGGGGCCCAUCAGCUAUGACGUGACUGAGUACACAGUUCAUAUUAAGUGGCUUGAGCCUAAUGCCCCCAACGGCAUGAUCAUCCUGUAUGAAGUCAACUAUAAGAGACUGGGAGACACAGAGGAGCUGCACCACUGUGUGUCCAGGAAGAUGUACCAGCAGUCGGAGGGCUGCAAGCUGAGAGUGGUGCAUCCUGGGAAUUAUACCGUGAGGAUCCGAGCCACCUCGCUGGCAGGAAACGGCUCCUGGACUGACCCCACGCACUUCUAUGUAGAAGACCUGCGGGUGGAUCCAUCCAACAUGUUGAAGAUUAUCAUUGGUUCAGUCAUUUUUAUCGUUUUGCUGAUACUGAUGACAGCGGGAGGAUUCCUCAUGUUCAAGAAGAAGCAAACCCAGGGCCCCUCUGGACCCCUCUACACAUCCUCCAACCCAGAGUACCUUAGUGCUGCUGACAUGUACGAGCCAGACGACUGGGAGGUGGGCAGAGAUAAGAUCAACAUCCUGCGUGAACUGGGUCAGGGCUCGUUCGGCAUGGUCUACGAGGGCAUCGCCAAGGACAUCGUGAAGGGCGAGCCGGAGACAAGCGUGGCGGUGAAGACGGUCAACGAGUCGGCCAGUCUGAGAGAGAGAAUAGAGUUCCUCAACGAGGCCUCCGUCAUGAAGGGCUUCACCUGCCACCAUGUGGUGCGUCUGAUGGGUGUGGUCUCUAAGGGCCAGCCCACUCUUGUUGUCAUGGAGCUGAUGACACACGGUGAUUUGAAGAGCUACCUGCGCUGCCUCCGCCCGGACUCAGAGAAUAACCCUACAGGGCGCCCGCCCCCCACUCUGAAGGAGAUGAUUCAGAUGGCAGCAGAGAUAGCAGACGGCAUGGCCUACCUCAACGCCAAGAAGUUUGUCCACAGAGACCUGGCUGCUAGAAACUGCAUGGUGGCGCAGGACUUCACUGUCAAGAUAGGAGACUUUGGUAUGACCAGAGACAUCUAUGAGACAGACUACUACAGGAAGGGAGGGAAGGGUCUGCUUCCUGUCCGCUGGAUGGCUCCUGAGUCUCUGAAGGAUGGAGUGUUCACUGCAAACUCAGACUGCUGGUCAUUUGGUGUGGUGCUGUGGGAGGUCAGUACCCCUAGCGGAGCAGCCAUACCAGGGUCUGUCCAACGAGCAGGUCCUGAAGUUCGUCAUGGACGGAGGAUUUCUGGACCGACCAGACAACUGUGCUGACCGGCUACACGACCUGAUGUCGAUGUGCUGGCAGUAUAACCCCAAGCUGCGUCCCAGCUUCCAGGAGAUCAUCGAAAUGCUCCACGAGGACCUUCACCAGUCCUUUCAGGAGGUCUCCUUCUACUACAGUCAGGAAAACAAGCCUCAGGAGCAGGAGGACUUUGACCUAGACAUGGACAACAUGGAAAGCAUUCCCCUGGACCCGUCCUCCUACUCCCAGAGAGGGGACCACAGUUCCUCGUACUCUCAGAGGGGAGACCACAGCUCGGAGAGGGACGAAGCGGGUUCAUCGCUGGGGUUGAGACAAAACAGCUACGAGGAACACGUCCCGUACACACACAUGAACGGGGGAAAGACGAAUGGACGGAUACUAGCUCUGCCUCGGUCUAGUCCCUCCUAACAGAACACUGUAUGGAUAUUGUAUCCCUAUCUCCCCUUAGGCCCAACCUUUCCCUCACACAGAUGCAUAGAUAUGAAUAUAUUUUUGUUUUGUUUUUUCAUUUUACAUAGAUAAACACUUUUAUCACUCAGAGGCCCUCUCGAAGUGUACAUAUCUCAGGACGUUAAUGCUCUCUUGUCAAGAUGCCACAUCCAAUAGACUAUGGUAUGUAUGUUAAUGUUCACACAAGAAACACACAGACACAACCACACAGACACUUUUUGUAUUUAAGAAAGAACCCCCCGUGCUUCUUUCUAGUCUUUGAUCCUUAAAAAAUAUAUUUCCAAUCUUCCACAAAUGGGUGGCAGUUUGGGGAAUCAACUGUGAAUCUAACUUUGGGACAACCAGAAGGCUGCUAACCCGAGGACUCUCCAGACUGUCCCUUGCCCAGGCCGAGGCGCUCUCCCUUGGCAGGUCAGCCCUCACUGGGUCCCUGGGGCUCCCUGGGCCAUGGAGGUCCACCUGGGUCGCUCAAUGUAAAAGUGCCCUUCUCUUCUAUCUCUGGCUGUAGCUUGCAUCUUAUGUCAUGGAGCUGUGUCUCUGUAUCUUUGUACUCUCAAGUCGUCAACAAACAACACACUUGAGAACUAACUUUUGGAUGGAUGAAUGUAUCUAAUCCAAUUUUAAAUCUUCAAGCAAACUUUAUCGAUCCACUGGAGAAGCUUGUUGUCAAUUUUCUCCUCACACUCUGCAGUAUUCCAGCAUCACACAGAAAUAAUUAACAGAUUUUUGGGGUUAUAUAUUUUUAAUUUAUUUACGUUUCAUUUUCUCUUUGCGUUUUCACAUUUACAGCUGAAGGAUAUUUAAAAAACUGUUUCAGAAAAACAUUUUGACGAAAGAAACGAGUUCCUCGGAAGACAUAGCUGCUUCUUUUUAUAUAUUUUAGUGGGUAUAGAAAAUAGAAAUAUAUUAUUGAUAUUUUUUUUUUGUACAUAGUGGUUGACAUACAUUGUCUUUCAUGAGGUAUUUCCAGUCUGUAGAAAAAAAGGUUUUACAUGUUUGUCUCUUAUGUUUAUUUUUUUCUAAUCCAGAAUUCAUACUAAUAAUCAUUUGGACUUGUGAUAAACCAGCAGCAUUUGGUAUUUUCUCUUGGCUUGGCCCGUUGAUAUCAGAUCAAAUCAAACUGUCUGCUUUUCAUAAAUAAAGCAGCACGGUGCAACAUGACCACGCUCUUUCUCUGUCCACAUGCUUCUGUUUACUUUGUUGUUGUUUACUAUGUCAUGGUGUCAUGUGUACAAUUUAUCUAAUAGGUCGUUUGCUGAAAUAAAAGAUCCCAGAAAUCUUA